UCGAGGGGCAGCAUGUCCAGCAAUGGAUGAUGGCGACCGGCGUAAGGGUGCGUAACGCGUGAGCAACAUGCCCUAUACAGGAGGAUACUCCGGGGAAACCCGGUCUAAUACUCCAUAGUAUUAUUGAGAGGCAUCUCUUAAUAAUUAAAGCUUCGGUGGUAUAGGACUGGCUCGCGUGACAUUAGCCAGAUGGUGAGGUAACGGCUCACCAUAGCAACGAUGUCUAGGGGUUUUGAGAGGAAGGCCCCCCACACUGGGACUGAGACACGGCCCAGACUCCUACGGGAGGCAGCAGUGAGGAAUAUUGGACAAUGGAUGGAAAUCUGAUCCAGUCAUGCCGCGUGCAGGAAGACUGCCUUAUGGGUUGUAAACUGCUUUUAUACGGGAGCAAUAAGGGUUACGUGUAACCUGAUGAGAGUACUGUAUGAAUAAGGAUCGGCUAACUCCGUGCCAGCAGCCGCGGUAAUACGGAGGAUCCGAGCGUUAUCCGGAAUUAUUGGGUUUAAAGGGUGCGUAGGCGGCUAUUUAAGUCAGCGGUGAAAUUUU
Molecule: ribosomal RNA, 546 nt
Filed under: uncultured bacterium
Lineage: Bacteria
Description: bacterial SSU rRNA
Rfam family: Bacterial small subunit ribosomal RNA
Source: RNAcentral